RNAcentral lists this ribosomal RNA (120 nucleotides) under uncultured bacterium. Its description in RNAcentral is "partial 16S ribosomal RNA". It matches the Rfam family "Bacterial small subunit ribosomal RNA", at positions 28 to 154 of the family's 1533-position model. The record is from RNAcentral.
GACAAACGCUGGCGGCGUGCUUAACACAUGCAAGUCGAACGGUCUUCCUUCGGGAAGAUAGUGGCGGACGGGUGAGUAACACGUAGAUAACCUACCCUUAUGUGGGGAAUAACCCCUCGA